This 2997-nucleotide long non-coding RNA is filed under the name Homo sapiens (human). RNAcentral's name for it is "non-protein coding lnc-MAP2K4-3:4". Lineage: Eukaryota; Metazoa; Chordata; Mammalia; Primates; Hominidae. The record is from RNAcentral.
AGUAAUUUGCUUGGGUCCUCUUCUAAUGUGUGGCAGGUUUGUUUUUUCGCUCUUUGCAAUUAAAUCUUGCCAUUGCUCACUCUUUGGGUCCACACUGCUUUUAUGAGCUGUAACACUCACCGCGAAGGUCUGCAGCCUCGCUGCUGAAGCCAGCGAGACCACGAACCCACCGGGAGGAACGAACAACUACAGCUGCGCCGCCUUAAGAGCUGUAACACCGCGAAGGUCUGCAGCUUCACUUCUGAGCCAGCGAGACCACGAACCCACUAGAAGGAAGAAACUCCGGACAUGCCCCCUUUAAGAACUGUUAACACUCAGCGCGAGGGUCCGAGGCUUCUUUCUUGAAGUCAGUGAGACCAAGAACCCACCAAUUCUGGACACAGUGACAAGGAAAAGACAGCGGUAAUUGCCACAUUGAGUGAACCAAGUUUCUAAAUGGCUGGCAUUUGCAUAUUAAAGGUUGCCUGCCCGGCCCUUCAAGCCACCUUUUCUGUUAGAAAAGAGAUGGUUCGGGGCUGUUUUUUUAUUACAGGAAAAUUUCCUCCGAGAACCUUUACCCUGAGUAGCUGCCUGGAAAUUAUUUCUUAAGAACACCUGUAUCACCAGCCUGCAUCUCCCUCAAAGCAGAACCUGAGAUAAAAAGGCUUCUGUGUGAGUGUUUUUUCUGAGAAUGAGGGAAAUACAGAAAGACGGUGGAAGUGGGGAAGGAAAGCUCCUAAGAGUACGCAGUAUUGAAAUGGUCCCUGCCUGCAGGUGGCUGGUUUCUGACCAGGAUGAACAGCCUCUCUGAGUAUUUGAGUAAAGAACAAAGGCCGUUUUGGGGGAAGUCGGACCUGAAUGGGUCUUGGUGCACAAGAAGCUGAGAAAGCAGGAGAGAAGAAUCCAGAGGAAAAAGAGGGAUUCACACAGGAGGUACUCAGGACCCCACCUCUCAGGACCCCACCAUCACUCAGGACCCAACCUCUGCAUCACUCAGGGGGAGCCAUUUACCAUGCAAGAAGUUCUGCUACCCUGAGACCUUCAUGCUGUGAGAAGCCCAAAUCAGCUGAGCCGAGAGUUCAUGUGGAGGAGAAAUGAGGCUUCAGGCAACAAAUUCAGCUGUUUCCCAGCAAGUUGCCAGCACCAACUCUUCAGCCAUGUAUGUGAAACCAUGUUGGAAGUGGAUCCUCUUGCCCCUACUCAGACCUCCUCAGCUGAUGCCACAUGGAAUGCAGGUGAACUGUGUGUACAUUUUCAAGGGAUUCUGUAGCAAAGAAACACAAAUUAGGUGACUAAAACAACAGAAACUUUUUCUUUUACAGUUCUGGAGGCGAGAAGUCUGAAAUCAAGGUAUUAGCAAGGCCGUAUUCCCGUUAAGGCUUUAGGGGUGUAUCCCUCCUUGCUACUUGCAGCAUUUGGUAGCCCCAGCUAUUCCUUGUGUCAAUAAAGCCAAUCUCUGCCUCUGUCUUCACAUGGCCAUCUUCCCUCUAUGGCUGUGUCCCAAGUUCCUUCUUAUAAGGACACCAGCCGUUGGAUUAGGGCCCACUCUAAUGACCUCAUCUGAACGUUAUUACAUCUCCAAAGACCCUAUUUCCAAAUAAGGUCACAUUCAUGGCACUGAAGAUUAGGACUUCAGUAUAUCUUUUUGGAGGACACAAUUCCAUCCAUAACAAACUGUCCACAUUGAGCCCUGCUUUUUAAUUGAAGAAUUGUGAUCAAAUAAAUAGAAUGACGUUUUUGGCCCCUGAAUUUUGAAUUACUUUCUCACGUAGCAGUAAAUAAUGAACACAGCAAGUUAUUUCCCUUUGAUGCCUCCACUGUAAAGGCGCUGCCAUUUCCUGCCCUGAAUUGCAGGAAAUCUUUCUUUCUGUCAGUUUUUUUUCUCCCCAGGCUAUUUUUUUGUGUAGUAAAUGUUGGUGUAUACAGUUUUAUUUCUUUCUCAUUUUUAUUCACUUCCAAUUUUCUCCAUCUCAAGCAAAGUUUCACUGGGAGUUACGUUAUCUCUCUAGUAUGAUUAUUCCAAUAUGACUACAAAGUCUUCUCUUCUGUUUUCUCAAGUACCAAUGUUUUCCCUGUUGCCUCACAUUUUUAGAUCUCUGUUGAAUGUCUGGCCCUACGAUAGCUACAGACAUUUGAUUGAUCUCUUCUUCCCUUCAUCAGCAUGCACUUCCUCCCUCACUAGAAGGAUUUGACACUGGGUAUUCCCUUCUCUGACAGACCCAACUCCUUUUCUUUUUAUUGGCUUGGGCUGAGAACAAGGCAAGUGUGAUCUGAGCCACCUCUUAAGUAUAAGGAAUGUGGCUUUUAAAAAUGCAUGCACCCAGGAUUAUUCUCAAUUCAGAUUACCUUAAUUGGUGGUAAGAAUUGAAGCUGGAGUUGGGUAGUUAAUGAAGAUGCCAGGUGGGAAGGAGUGAAAUACUGGAGCCUGAAUGAACCUAUGGAAUAAUUCUUGUUAAUCCAUAUUUUAUUCCAACGUAACUUCUUUGUCACUCUUAUACAUCCAAAUCCUGGCUUGUAUCAUUUCUAGUUCUGAAAAUUACCUCCUUGUGACUUUUUGUAUUUACCCACAUCAUCAUCUCCUUAAAGACUCCAGCCUUGAACUCACUUCUCUUUCUCCCCACUCUUCAAUCACCUUGAACCUCUGGCAUUUCAUCCAUCUGCCCCAUGCAUUAUUACUAUAUCACAUCAGUCCCAACACAUACACAUACCCACAUACUCACAGAGAGAGAAUCUGGUGCCUCCAAAGGCUGACUGGUUGAUCCAAAAUACUACUGCUUGAAGAUAUUAAGAAAUGAGGGUAAGAAAGAAGUGCACAAUGAUCCCCUAAGUCUCAGGACCAAAGGACAUUCAAAAAGCAAGGAGCAUGGAGCAAAAAUGCAAAGGCAGGUACCUUCAAUACACAUCGUUCUACAGCUUUACAGGAUCCAACUUUCCAGAAGGUAUUAUGUUUCAUGAGUUCAGAAUGCAGUUCUCUCUUAUAAAUAAACAGUUCAGUAGGCCUUGCAGUACCUGAUCAAU